AGAGUUUGAUCCUGGCUCAGGACGAACGCUGGCGGCGCGCCUAACACAUGCAAGUCGAACGAGCGAGAGAGAGCUUGCUUUCUCAAGCGAGUGGCGAACGGGUGAGUAACGCGUGAGGAACCUGCCUCAAAGAGGGGGACAACAGUUGGAAACGACUGCUAAUACCGCAUAAGCCCACGACCCGGCAUCGGGAAGAGGGAAAAGGAGCAAUCCGCUUUGAGAUGGCCUCGCGUCCGAUUAGCUAGUUGGUGAGGUAACGGCCCACCAAGGCGAUGAUCGGUAGCCGGACUGAGAGGUUGAACGGCCACAUUGGGACUGAGACACGGCCCAGACUCCUACGGGAGGCAGCC
RNAcentral lists this ribosomal RNA (350 nucleotides) under uncultured bacterium. RNAcentral's name for it is "bacterial SSU rRNA". It matches the Rfam family "Bacterial small subunit ribosomal RNA", at positions 8 to 353 of the family's 1533-position model. The record is from RNAcentral.